GCCUCAUUGGCUCAGGGGCAGAGCGUCUGUCUAGUAAACAGAAGGUCGCUGGUUCGAUUCCAGCAUGAGGCA
Non-coding RNA from Strongyloides papillosus, 72 nucleotides. The record is from Rfam. NCBI's taxonomy places the organism in Eukaryota, Metazoa, Nematoda, Chromadorea, Rhabditida, Strongyloididae.